Molecule: long non-coding RNA, 812 nt
Organism: Medicago truncatula (barrel medic)
Lineage: Eukaryota; Viridiplantae; Streptophyta; Magnoliopsida; Fabales; Fabaceae
Exons: 4
Source: RefSeq, a predicted model, not a curated record
CAGAAUCAUUCACUGUUUUCACGUUGGAAAAUUCUCAUUACCCCACCUCACUCAAUUCAAAUUCAAAUUCAAAUUCAAUCUCCCAGUCUUUCUUUUUCAUCUUCUCUCCUCUUCUCUUUCAUUGUUUCUAAAUUCGCAAAUCAGAAAUCAAUAUCCAUAGUGACAGUGAUGAAAAAGAGCAUGACCGCUGCAAUUUAGUUUUUGAACUCCUGAUCCAUGUUCAUGUUGAAACUAUAGAACCAUUAUCUUAUUCUCUCACUCUCUCCCUCUGGUUUGUUGUUGUUGUUAUAGUUAGAAAAGGGCGACAUCCAAUCAAAAAUUUCGAUAUUGAUAUAAAAUCAUUUUUGUUUAUUGUCUGCAGUAAAAAGUGACAAAUUUGUAGUUCUCAGGAGAUGGAGAAACUGCAAUUGCAAAUCUGCAACAGAGCCUACUUUGAAGCUAGCUUUGAGGCCAUUCUUGAUGAGAGAUUUUGAAGCAUUUUAUGAGAGAUCAAGAUUUGUAUUCGAGAUAAAGACCAUGAGAUUGAUGGACACAAUUUGAUCCCAAAGCUGAAUAUAAAAGGCAGUGGCUACCUGGGUCCUCAAAGUUGUUACAUGAGUGGAAGUGUCCUGUUUAUCACACACCACCUACUGUGCCUUAAUUGGAGAAUCAUAGAAAUAGUCUUAUAGAAGACUUUAAACAUUAUUAUUUGCUCAAGGUUUAGUCUUUUUUAUACCCAAUUUGGUUUACUGUGCCUACAGUGUAUCUAAUUUUUUUUAUCAAAUUUGUAAAUCAUAAACCAAUCCGAUUAAAUUUCUUAAAAGUUAUAGUAA